GGGGGCGAGCGCAAGCGGCUCCCGSUGAGGGAUGGGCCUGCGGCUGAUUAGCUAGUUGGUGGGGUAGCGGCCUACCAAGGCGACGAUCAGUAGCCGACCUGAGAGGGUGACCGGCCACACUGGGACUGAGACACGGCCCAGACUCCUACGGGAGGCAGCAGUGGGGAAUAUUGCGCAAUGGGCGAAAGCCUGACGCAGCGACGCCGCGUGGGUGAUGAAGGCCUUCGGGUCGUAAAACCCUGUCGGGUGGAACGAAUCUCCGCCUUGCUAAUACCAAGGUGGCUUGACGGUGCCACCGAAGGAAGCCCCGGCUAACUACGUGCCAGCAGCCGCGGUAAUACGUAGGGGGCGAGCGUUGUUCGGAUUUACUGGGCGUAAAGGGCGCGUAGGUGGUUCGAUGAGUCGGAGGUGAAAUCCCUCGGCUUAACCGAGGACCCGCGUCCGAUACUGUCGAACUUGAGUGCAGGAGAGGAGAGCGGAAUUCCCAGUGUAGCGGUGAAAUGCGUAGAUAUUGGGAGGAACACCGGUGGCGACGGGCGGU
This 541-nucleotide ribosomal RNA is filed under the name NC10 bacterium enrichment culture clone Ino-nFR15. RNAcentral describes it as "bacterial SSU rRNA". It matches the Rfam family "Bacterial small subunit ribosomal RNA", at positions 192 to 725 of the family's 1533-position model. Lineage: Bacteria; Methylomirabilota (SeqCode). The record is from RNAcentral.